This 1198-nucleotide long non-coding RNA is filed under the name Castor canadensis (American beaver). RNAcentral describes it as "lncRNA (ENSCCNG00000020740.1)". The record is from RNAcentral. Lineage: Eukaryota; Metazoa; Chordata; Mammalia; Rodentia; Castoridae.
AUGUCUCUGUGUCUUGCACGUCUCAUUAUUUUCAAGAGCUUUUCUUCAAAUACCCGCUGUGUUGGCUGCAGAACACCCAGGUCUAACAAGCCUCUGCCAUGGAUAUUUCUUUACUUGAGUGUCUCCAUCUCCUUCCACUCUCAUAUGGACACAAGGAGAGCAUCCAGCCGUGAAAAGAGAAAGCACGUGAAAAGCUGAAAACUUCGUCUCAAGUUUACUUUCAGGGCCAUGAUUGUGCAAGUGACGGAAUUGCUGAGGACCGGGGACAGUGAAGCAGCACAGAAAUCACAAACAGGAGAUCAGUUCAUCCCCAGGAACGACGCAGGAGGAGGAGUUGACACGUGGAAGCUCCACCUGGGAGCUGAGCUGCAGGACUAAGCCACAGCAGCAGUGCCAUCGUGAGUCAGCGCGGGUCAGCGCAGGUCAGCCUCCCAUCACUGUGACAAACGCCUGAGGUACGUGUGCUCCAAUGAAGAGAGGGUUAUUUUGACUCUCAGUUUUGGGAGCUCUCACCCGUGGUUGGGCGUCUCUGAGGCUUUGGGCCUGUGGCGAGGCAGAGCAUCAUGGUGGGAUCAUGUGUGGAGCAAAGCUGUUCACCCAGUGGCUGGGUACUGGAGGGAGAGAAAGAGAGAGAGAGAGAGAGAGAGAGAGGGAGAUAGAGGACCCACGGUCCCCCUCAAGGCAUAGCCCCCCAGUGACCUAAGACCUCCUAAAGGUUCCACCACCUCCAGCACUGCCCUGGGGACCAAGCCUUCAUCAUUCUGGGUUUUGGGGACUUUCCAGCCUCCACCAUGACAGCAUCUGAGGUGGACAAGGAAGGAAUGCCUGGCUUCUCCCCUGCCCGCUCCUGGCCUUAGUGAAUCCAGCAGGUGCAGCUGGCCAGGGAAGCCAGUCUGCUGGGCUCAGCCCACUGUCCCACCUGUGACCUGAAGACCAGCUCCCCGGGUGGCACUGAGACCCCAUUUACCUCAUCCAGCUCUGCAUCUGGACCUUCAAGGACAGCCUGGCACAUGGUAGGUCCUCAGUAAAGAGGGAACAAGGAGACUAGGGCUCCUGGGUCAUCUUGUCACACACUGAAAGCUCCUCGAAGUCCACCAAGUGACUCAAGUGUCCUGAGGGGUCCGAGGAGUGUCAGGUCCACAGAGGGAGGUGCUCUGUGGCCCUGGAGCUCUGCUUGGCCAGGACUGAGAUGAGGUUC